GGAAGCUAGGCUUAGCCGGUGCUGGGCUCGGACUUCAAAUCCGAUGUUUGCUGUUUCACGGCAAGGGUGGGUUCGACUCCCACUAGCUUCCGCCA
This 95-nucleotide transfer RNA is filed under the name Bryobacterales bacterium. RNAcentral's name for it is "Solibacterales bacterium tRNA-Sec". It matches the Rfam family "Selenocysteine transfer RNA". The record is from RNAcentral. Lineage: Bacteria; Pseudomonadati; Acidobacteriota; Terriglobia; Bryobacterales.